RNAcentral lists this transfer RNA (84 nucleotides) under Kiritimatiellaeota bacterium B1221. RNAcentral describes it as "tRNA-Leu". It matches the Rfam family "tRNA". Rfam says of the family: Transfer RNA (tRNA) molecules are approximately 80 nucleotides in length. Their secondary structure includes four short double-helical elements and three loops (D, anti-codon, and T loops). The record is from RNAcentral. Lineage: Bacteria; Pseudomonadati; Kiritimatiellota. RNAcentral also lists the same sequence under 1 other name.
GGGCGCGUGGUGGAAUGGCAGACACGCUGGAUUUAGGAUCCAGUGCCGAAAGGCGUGUGGGUUCGACUCCCACCGCGCCCACCA